GACGAACGCUAGCGGCGUGCCUAAUACAUGCAAGUUGAGCGCUGAAGGUUGGUACUUGUACCGACUGGAUGAGCAGCGAACGGGUGAGUAACGCGUGGGGAAUCUGCCUUUGAGCGGGGGACAACAUUUGGAAACGAAUGCUAAUACCGCAUAAAAACUUUAAACACAAGUUUUAAGUUUGAAAGAUGAAAUUGCAUCACUCAAAGAUGAUCCCGCGUUGUAUUAGCUAGUUGGUGAGGUAAAGGCUCACCAAGGCGAUGAUACAUAGCCGACCUGAGAGGGUGAUCGGCCACAUUGGGACUGAGACACGGCCCAAACUCCUACGGGAGGCAGCAGUAGGGAAUCUUCGGCAAUGGACGAAAGUCUGACCGAGCAACGCCGCGUGAGUGAAGAAGGUUUUCGGAUCGUAAAACUCUGUUGGUAGAGAAGAACGUUGGUGAGAGUGGAAAGCUCAUCAAGUGACGGUAACUACCCAGAAAGGGACGGCUAACUACGUG
This 497-nucleotide ribosomal RNA is filed under the name uncultured bacterium. RNAcentral's name for it is "partial 16S ribosomal RNA". It matches the Rfam family "Bacterial small subunit ribosomal RNA", at positions 28 to 507 of the family's 1533-position model. The record is from RNAcentral.